This 496-nucleotide ribosomal RNA is filed under the name uncultured bacterium. RNAcentral describes it as "partial 16S ribosomal RNA". It matches the Rfam family "Bacterial small subunit ribosomal RNA", at positions 28 to 523 of the family's 1533-position model. The record is from RNAcentral.
GAUGAACGCUGGCGGCGUGCCUAACACAUGCAAGUCGAGCGGUAUAUACUUAAACAAAUCUUCGGAAGAGUGAGAGUAUAGAGAGCGGCGGACGGGUGAGUAACGCGUAGGCAACCUGCCCCAUACAGAGGGAUAGCCUCGGGAAACCGGGAUUAAAACCUCAUAACGCGAGAGAGUCACAUGGCUUUUUCGCCAAAGAUUUAUCGGUAUGGGAUGGGCCUGCGUCUGAUUAGCUAGUUGGUGGGGUAACGGCCUACCAAGGCAACGAUCAGUAGCCGACCUGAGAGGGUAAUCGGCCACAUUGGAACUGAGACACGGUCCAAACUCCUACGGGAGGCAGCAGUGGGGAAUAUUGCACAAUGGGCGAAAGCCUGAUGCAGCAACGCCGCGUGAGCGAUGAAGGCCUUUGGGUCGUAAAGCUCUGUCCUUGGGGAAGAAUAAAUGACGGUACCCUUGGAGGAAGCCCCGGCUAACUACGUGCCAGCCGCCGCCGUAA